UACGUAGGUGUCAAGCGUUGUCCGGAUUUAUUGGGCUUAAAGGGUGCGUAGGCGGCUUUGUAAGUCAGUGGUGAAAUAUGGCAGCUCAACUGUCAGGGUGCCAUUGAUACUGCAGAGCUUGAGUACAGAUGAGGUAGGCGGAAUUGACGGUGUAGCGGUGAAAUGCUUAGAUAUCGGGAAGAACACCGAUAGCGAAGGCAGCUUACUGGGCUGUAACUGACGCUGAGGCACGAAAGUGUGGGGAUCAAACAGG
This 253-nucleotide ribosomal RNA is filed under the name uncultured bacterium. Its description in RNAcentral is "partial 16S ribosomal RNA". It matches the Rfam family "Bacterial small subunit ribosomal RNA", at positions 524 to 776 of the family's 1533-position model. The record is from RNAcentral.